This 433-nucleotide ribosomal RNA is filed under the name uncultured bacterium. RNAcentral describes it as "partial 16S ribosomal RNA". It matches the Rfam family "Bacterial small subunit ribosomal RNA", at positions 29 to 507 of the family's 1533-position model. The record is from RNAcentral.
AACGAACGCUGGCGGCAGGCCUAACACAUGCAAGUCGAGCGCGCCCUCCGGGGUGAGCGGCGGAUGGGUGAGUCACGCGUGGGAACGUGCCAUUUUCUACGGAAUAGCCUCGGGUCACUGAGAGUAAUACCGUAUACGCUCUUUGGGGGGAAGAUUUGUCGGAACAGGAGCGGCACGAGUUGGUUUAGGCAGUUGGUGGGGUAAUGGCCUACCAAGCAGAGGAUCCAUAGCUGGUUUGAGAGGAUGAGCAGCCACACUGGGACGGGGACACAGCCCAGACUCCUACGGGAGGCAGCAGUGGGGAAUCUUGGACAAUGGGGGCAACCCUGAACUAGCCAUGCCGCGUGAGUGAUUAAGGCCUUAGAGUUGUAAAGCUCUUUCAGCUGGGAAGAUAAUGACGGUACCAGCAGAAGAAGCCCCGGCUAACUCCGUG